CCUACGGGCGGCAGCAGUGAGGAAUAUUGGUCAAUGGACGAAAGUCUGAACCAGCCAUGUCGCGUGCAGGAUGACUGCCCUAUGAGUUGUAAACUUCUUUUGUACGGGGGUAAACGGAGACACGCGUAUCUUUUUGUAAGUAUCGUACGAAUAAGGAUCGGCUAACUCCGUGCCAGCAGCCGCGGUAAUACGGAGGAUUCAAGCGUUAUCCGGAUUUAUUGGGUUUAAAGGGAGCGUAGGUGGUGGGGUAAGUUAGAGGUGAAAUUUUGGGGCUCAACGUUGAAAUUGCAUUUGAUACUGGUCGUCUGGAGGAUAGUGGAGGUAGGCGGAAUGUGUGGUGUAGCGGUGAAAUGCUUAGAGAUCAUAAAGAACCCCGAUUGCGAAGGCAGCUUACCAAGCUGCUUCUGACGUUGAGGCACGAAAGCGUGGGGAUCAAACAGGAUUAGAUACCCGGGUAGUC
RNAcentral lists this ribosomal RNA (460 nucleotides) under uncultured bacterium. RNAcentral's name for it is "partial 16S ribosomal RNA". It matches the Rfam family "Bacterial small subunit ribosomal RNA", at positions 338 to 795 of the family's 1533-position model. The record is from RNAcentral.